UACGUAGGGUGCAAGCGUUUAAUCGGAAUUACUGGGCGUAAAGCGUGCGCAGGCGGUUAUGUAAGACAGUUGUGAAAUCCCCGGGCUCAACCUGGGAACUGCAUCUGUGACUGCAUAGCUAGAGUACGGUAGAGGGGGAUGGAAUUCCGCGUGUAGCAGUGAAAUGCGUAGAGAUGCGGAGGAACACCGAUGGCGAAGGCAGCCCCCCUGGGCUAACACUGACGCUCAGGCACGAAAGCGUGGGGAGCAAACAGG
This 255-nucleotide ribosomal RNA is filed under the name uncultured bacterium. RNAcentral's name for it is "partial 16S ribosomal RNA". It matches the Rfam family "Bacterial small subunit ribosomal RNA", at positions 524 to 776 of the family's 1533-position model. The record is from RNAcentral.